GGGGAAGUCCGGUGAGAGUCCGGCGCUGACCCGCAACGGUGUGCGCGACGGCCUCGCGGUCCGCCGCGCGAGCCCGAUCGCCC
Molecule: non-coding RNA, 83 nt
Filed under: Streptomyces sp.
Lineage: Bacteria; Bacillati; Actinomycetota; Actinomycetes; Kitasatosporales; Streptomycetaceae
Source: RNAcentral